GGAAUCUUCCACAAUGGACGAAAGUCUGAUGGAGCAACGCCGCGUGAGUGAAGAAGGGUUUCGGCUCGUAAAACUCUGUUGUUAAAGAAGAACAUAUCUGAGAGUAACUGUUCAGGUAUUGACGGUAUUUAACCAGAAAGGAACGGCUAAAUACGUGCCAG
This 161-nucleotide ribosomal RNA is filed under the name uncultured bacterium. RNAcentral describes it as "partial 16S ribosomal RNA". It matches the Rfam family "Bacterial small subunit ribosomal RNA", at positions 358 to 511 of the family's 1533-position model. The record is from RNAcentral.